AACGAACGCUGGCGGCAUGCCUAACACAUGCAAGUCGAACGAGACCUUCGGGUCUAGUGGCGCACGGGUGCGUAACGCGUGGGAACCUGCCCUUAGGUUCGGAAUAACUCCUCGAAAGGGGUGCUAAUACCGGAUAAUGUCUUCGGACCAAAGAUUUAUCGCCUUUGGAUGGGCCCGCGUUGGAUUAGCUAGUUGGUAGGGUAAAAGCCUACCAAGGCGACGAUCCAUAGCUGGUCUGAGAGGAUGAUCAGCCACACUGGGACUGAGACACGGCCCAGACUCCUACGGGAGGCAGCAGUUGGGAAUAUUGGACAGUGGGCGAAAGCCUGAUCCAGCAAUGCCGCGUGAGUGAUGAAGGCCUUAGGGUUGUAAAGCUCUUUUACCCGGGAUGAUAAUGACAGUACCGGGAGAAUAAGCUCCGGCUAACUCCGUG
Molecule: ribosomal RNA, 433 nt
Filed under: uncultured bacterium
Lineage: Bacteria
Description: partial 16S ribosomal RNA
Rfam family: Bacterial small subunit ribosomal RNA
Source: RNAcentral